AGCGAACGCUGGCGGCAGGCUUAACACAUGCAAGUCGAGCGCCCCGCAAGGGGAGCGGCAGACGGGUGAGUAACACGUGGGAACGUACCCUUUGGUUCGGAACAACCCAGGGAAACUUGGGCUAAUACCGGAUAAGUCCGCGAGGAGAAAGAUUUAUCGCCGAAGGAUCGGCCCGCGUCUGAUUAGCUAGUUGGUGUGGUAACGGCGCACCAAGGCGACGAUCAGUAGCUGGUCUGAGAGGAUGAUCAGCCACACUGGGACUGAGACACGGCCCAGACUCCUACGGGAGGCAGCAGUGGGGAAUAUUGGACAAUGGGGGCAACCCUGAUCCAGCCAUGCCGCGUGAGUGAUGAAGGCCCUAGGGUUGUAAAGCUCUUUCGGGGGGGAAGAUAAUGACGGUACCCACAGAAGAAGCCCCGGCUAACUUCGUG
This 431-nucleotide ribosomal RNA is filed under the name uncultured bacterium. RNAcentral's name for it is "partial 16S ribosomal RNA". It matches the Rfam family "Bacterial small subunit ribosomal RNA", at positions 29 to 507 of the family's 1533-position model. The record is from RNAcentral.